UGGGGAAUAUUGCACAAUGGGCGAAAGCCUGAUGCAGCGACGCCGCGUGAGGGAUGACGGCCUUCGGGUUGUAAACCUCUUUCAGUAGGGACGAAGCGCAAGUGACGGUACCUGCAGAAGAAGCACCGGCUAACUACGUGCCAGCAUCCGCGGUAAUACGUAGGGUGCGAGUGUUGUCCGGAAUUACUGGGCGUAAAGAGCUCGUAGGCGGUUUGUCACGUCGUCUGUGAAAUCCUAGGGCAUAACCCUGGACGUGCAGGCGAUACGGGCUGACUUGAGUACUACAGAGGAGACUAGAAUUUCUGGUGUAGCGGUGGAAUGCACAGAUAUCAGGAAGAACACCGAUGGCGAAGGCAGGUCUCUGGGUAGUAACUGACGCUGAGGAGCGAAAGCAUGGGUAGCGAACAGG
Molecule: ribosomal RNA, 409 nt
Filed under: bacterium
Lineage: Bacteria
Description: partial 16S ribosomal RNA
Rfam family: Bacterial small subunit ribosomal RNA
Source: RNAcentral